CUCUUAUCAAGAGUGGUGGAGGGACUGGCCCGAUGAAACCCGGCAACCGGCAUAUAUUAUGCGUUUGGUGCCAAAUCCUGCAGGGAAACCUGAGAGAUGAGAG
Molecule: non-coding RNA, 103 nt
Filed under: Thermoanaerobacterium saccharolyticum
Lineage: Bacteria; Bacillati; Bacillota; Clostridia; Thermoanaerobacterales; Thermoanaerobacteraceae
Description: SAM-I sequence
Rfam family: SAM riboswitch aptamer (S box leader)
About the family: The SAM riboswitch is found upstream of a number of genes which code for proteins involved in methionine or cysteine biosynthesis in Gram-positive bacteria. The SAM riboswitch acts at the level of transcription termination control.
Source: RNAcentral